UCGGAGUGCCGGCGAGUGGCAAACGGGUGAGUAAUACAUCGGAACAUGCCCAGUAGUGGGGGAUAGCUCGGCGAAAGCCGAAUUAAUACCGCAUACGACCUUCGGGUGAAAGGGGGGGAUCUUCGGACCUCUCGCUAUUGGAGUGGCCGAUGCCUGAUUAGUUUGUUGGUGGGGCAAUGGCCUACCAAGACUGCGAUCAGUAGCUGGUCUGAGAGGACGAUCAGCCACACUGGGACUGAGACACGGCCCAGACUCCUACGGGAGGCAGCAGUGGGGAAUCUUGGACAAUGGGCGAAAGCCUGAUCCAGCAAUGCCGCGUGUGCGAUGAAGGCUUUCGGGUUGUAAAGCACUUUUGUCAGGGAAGAAAUGGUUCGGGCCAAUACCCCGAACUUCUGACGGUACCUGAAGAAUAAGCACCGGCUAACUACGUGCCAGCAGCCGCGGUAAUACGUAGGGUGCAAGCGUUAAUCGGAAUUACUGGGCGUAAAGCGUGCGCAGGCGGUUUACUAAGACAGGUGUGAAAUCCCCGGGCUUAACCUGGGAACUGCAUCUGUGACUAGUAGACUAGAGUUUGGCAGAGGGGGGUGGAAUUCCUGGUGU
This 600-nucleotide ribosomal RNA is filed under the name uncultured beta proteobacterium. Its description in RNAcentral is "bacterial SSU rRNA". It matches the Rfam family "Bacterial small subunit ribosomal RNA", at positions 80 to 676 of the family's 1533-position model. The record is from RNAcentral. Lineage: Bacteria; Pseudomonadati; Pseudomonadota; Betaproteobacteria.